AAUGAAGUGCCUGAUUAAAGGACUAUCUUGAUAGGAUAGAUAAAGUAAUUUUAUUACCUUCAUUA
This 65-nucleotide transfer RNA is filed under the name Spathosternum prasiniferum prasiniferum. RNAcentral's name for it is "tRNA-Ile". The record is from RNAcentral. Lineage: Eukaryota; Metazoa; Arthropoda; Insecta; Orthoptera; Acrididae. RNAcentral also lists the same sequence under 2 other names.